This is a long non-coding RNA of Pyrgilauda ruficollis (rufous-necked snowfinch), 1056 nucleotides long. RefSeq lists it as uncharacterized. The record is from RefSeq and is a predicted model, not a curated record. The transcript has 3 exons. Lineage: Eukaryota; Metazoa; Chordata; Aves; Passeriformes; Passeridae.
UAGUGCAGCAGUGACACUCCCCUGUGGACUGCAGCCAUGGCCAUCCUGCCCAGCACACACUGCUGUUCUCAUCUUCAAGGCUGAGUCGUCACCAGUUGGCUGUGGCAGGUGCAGGGACCUUUUCCAGCCUCUUCCUUCCUAGUUUUCAGUGUAAGGACUGGCUUCCUGAAGAUUUCUGGAUGACCUGCAAAAUUGUUGUAAGGGAUUAUUUGAAUUGAUAAAUUAAAACAACUACUUCCAAGUGGAUUCUAAAUCAUGAGAGCUGACAUUGCUACAACUCUGUCAAUUUGGACACCAGGGACAGAUCUAUAUAUCCUAAUCUCCACACAUCUCAACCCAGUGUUCCCUGUAUCCUACUGACCAGACAAGAAAGGCAAACAACCAUUUCUGUGCAGAGAGACAGAAUAGACUUGGUGAAUGUGUCAGACUGUGAGCAGGAUACUCCAGUGGAGGAUUAUACUCUUCUCCUGCCUUCACCUGUGAGAUGCUCUCCUCAAGGUGUCUUCUCUCAUCUUAAAUGGUGACUGGCUCUUUUCCAAACCAAAGCACAGAAGACUGAAUUUUCUACUAUUUUCAGCACUUUCUUUAUGCACAACAGAUGCUCUUAUGCAUUACCUCAAGGAAUAGUAUGAGCUCUGUUACACUGUGAAGAUGAAGAAAUUUUGGCAGCUCCACAAGUUAAAUCACACACUCUGUCUACCAUAAAUGUCCCACAUGUAGAAUUCUGAUAUUAAAAAUAUUAACAAAAAUUUCAGAUGUUCUGUAUUACCCCUCCAGCAAUGACAGAAUAAGUACUGGAUUAAGGUGUGUUAGCUCAGAAAGUAGUUAAAAUUCUCUACUCCUUGAAUUCCCUGCCAUCCAGAAGGAACACAGAACAGCUGAUGGAUGACCUUUCACUUACCUCACUGGCAGGCAAGUGCUCCAGACCCAACACAACACAACAGCCUGACCACACAUACACAAAGAUGAGCUUUAUGUCAGAAACUUCUGCAAACACUAACAGGCAAGUGAAAAGAGGUUUUUAGCCACUGAAGAAUGUCUAGGAAUCUGGGAGAC